RNAcentral lists this ribosomal RNA (301 nucleotides) under uncultured bacterium. RNAcentral describes it as "partial 16S ribosomal RNA". It matches the Rfam family "Archaeal small subunit ribosomal RNA", at positions 459 to 759 of the family's 1478-position model. The record is from RNAcentral.
CAGUCGCCGCGGGAACACCAGCAGCCCAAGUGGUGGUCGCGUUUAUUGGGCCUAAAGCGCUCGUAGCCUGGCCGGUAAGUUCCCCGUGAAACCAGGUCGCCCAACGAUUCGGCUUGCGGGGAAUACUGUCGGUCUUGGGGCCGGGAGACGCCGAGGGUACUCCGGGGGUAGCGGUGAAAUGCUGUAAUCCUCGGGGGACUACCAGUGGCGGAGGCGCUCGGCGAUAACGGGCCUGACGGUGAGGGGCGAAAGCUGGGGGCGCGAACGGGAUUAGAUACCCCGGUAGUCCCUGUCUCUUAUA